AAGAUUGCUCAUGACUCUUGUUCUGUAG
RNAcentral lists this non-coding RNA (28 nucleotides) under Cricetulus griseus (Chinese hamster). Lineage: Eukaryota; Metazoa; Chordata; Mammalia; Rodentia; Cricetidae. The record is from RNAcentral.